GGGCUCGCGAGGGUCCGUCUGAAGGAAGCGUGGAACGAACCCACGGGCCGACGUACAGGAAUCGGAUUCGAGGCGCCGCGGACCAGGGCGAGCUGGCACGUGACAGCGAAGCUCUUGCGGUCAAAGGGACGCGGCGUAAAUCCGGCGGUUGUGUGGGGACGGCCAUCUGU
Molecule: non-coding RNA, 170 nt
Filed under: Engelhardtia mirabilis
Lineage: Bacteria; Pseudomonadati; Planctomycetota; Planctomycetia
Source: RNAcentral